CUUAUUAUGACACUCAUUCUCUAUUUGUGGCUCAAGUGCUGCCAUGCCUCUAAAAUUUCCAUCAAUCGAGAUAACGAAUUAACCAACAAACACUAAUUGGCUCUAAACAAAAUGAAAUCAUCGUGCUGACAACUAAAAUAAAGGCAGAAAUAAGAAAUCCCUUCUACAUGAACAAACAAAUAAGGCAAACUAAAAUGACAUUAAAAUAGUUAAAUUGAUUUGUUCUGCUUCAACCUAUAUCUCUCGACAUUUGCAAGCUAAGCAGUAGGAUUAUACAACUUCACAGUAUCAACAGGGUCUAAACAGUAGUGCCUCGUCCAAAUGAAUUACUCAAAACUUUGAAAUUAUUGUGUCAAGCUUUUCAUGAAUUUACCGCAUCAAUUACUUCAAACACAUGUCACAAUCAAUCCAAUGACCUUUGCAUAAAUAUGUAAUAACGUACAUGGAAAGAUUAAACUAAAGUAUCACUAUUUUGGUCAACAAAAUUGCAUCUUAAUUUAAGAUAUAGAAAGGUAGAUAUACUGGACACAACUGUAUACUUGAACAAUAUGAAAGCACAUCCAGAUUGAUAUUUUCACAUUAACACAUGUAAAUCAAAAUCAGUUCAGUCCAACAAAAGGAGGAGUAGGUCGAUCCAGACUCAAAUUUGAUCAUUCUUAACAAUUCACUUAUCUAUUUAUGAAAUCAAAUCUCACAUACAAAGCCAAGACAGACAUUAAAGGCUAAACAAAUUACAAAUAUGUUCAAUUACAAUGCCCUAUUCGACGCUGAAUCAUCACAAAUCCUUGGAAGAAUAAGUUGUUUCAUGCUUCUGGACUAUUCUGUCAUUUCAAACAUUUUAUAAGUCAAUGUUACCUACAUAUUAGUUGAAUAUCAAACCAAUAGAAGAUAAGAUUUAAACAGAUCCAUAUAAAUAAGACAUGAUUUCAGAAUUUUUUAAUCAUUCAAGUGAACGCAGUAUACAAGGAAGUGUAGAACUAACCUAUUUGUAGACGAAGACACUAAGAGCUCAGCAAGACCAUAGACAACAACAUCAAUUUCAACAGCAAUACACGGCCUAAUUUUUGCGCGAGUCAAACCAAGCGAAACUUGCAGAAAUACAAGUCUGCGACAAGCCGAAUAAAGCUAAGAAACAGUUGCGAGUAGAAGUCCAACAACAAAGGAUUUGAACCACAAGCCCAGCAGAGAAGAACAUUAGCAAAAUAACUCAACCAAACCCAGCAAAAUCAACGCAAGCUAAUAGAAAUCGAAGCCAGCCCCUCUAAUUCUAACUUUCUUCUUCUUUUUGUUUUGUAAUUUUUUUGUUUUUCGGAUUUAGAUCUGUCUGAUUUCUUUGAGAUUUUGAAAAGAUUGUUUUCAAAUAUUUUGGCAUUUCUCUGUGUAUAUUUUCUGUUUGAGAGUGGGAGUGAGAGGGAGAAUCAAUGGAGAAGAAGAGGGAAUCGAAAAUUUUCGAGAAGAUUUUUUUUUUGAAACUCCUUUUUUUGGGAUAUGAUGUGUGUAUGUUGUAUGUGAAUGAGUGAAGAAGAAGGGUUGAAAAAUUGGGGAAUGAGACACGCCUUUUUCGUGUCUCUAAGGGGAGGGUACAGCUAAAUGGGAUUUGGGCCAUGGUCAUGGGUUUUUGGGUUGGGUUCAAUUGGGCUGAGCUGUUUGGCCCAAAUUUGGGUCUUAUGACCAACCUUUUAAUUUAUUUUUCUUUGGCUUUUCUCUUUUAUCUCUUUUAUUAAUUAAUUAAAAUACUAAAUUAUUU
This 1747-nucleotide long non-coding RNA is filed under the name Nicotiana benthamiana. RNAcentral's name for it is "long non-coding RNA (NBEN_LNC035847)". The record is from RNAcentral. Lineage: Eukaryota; Viridiplantae; Streptophyta; Magnoliopsida; Solanales; Solanaceae.